RNAcentral lists this ribosomal RNA (253 nucleotides) under uncultured bacterium. Its description in RNAcentral is "partial 16S ribosomal RNA". It matches the Rfam family "Bacterial small subunit ribosomal RNA", at positions 524 to 776 of the family's 1533-position model. The record is from RNAcentral.
UACGAAGGGGGCUAGCGUUGCUCGGAUUUACUGGGCGUAAAGGGCGCGUAGGCGGCGGACCCAGUCAGACGUGAAAUUCCUGGGCUCAACCUGGGGGCUGCGUUUGAUACAUGUCUGCUUGAGUUCGGAAGAGGGUCGUGGAAUUCCCAGUGUAGAGGUGAAAUUCGUAGAUAUUGGGAAGAACACCGGUGGCGAAGGCGGCGACCUGGUCCGAUACUGACGCUGAGGCGCGAAAGCGUGGGGAGCAAACAGG